RNAcentral lists this transfer RNA (77 nucleotides) under Candidatus Dojkabacteria bacterium. RNAcentral's name for it is "tRNA-Val". It matches the Rfam family "tRNA". From Rfam's summary of the family: Transfer RNA (tRNA) molecules are approximately 80 nucleotides in length. Their secondary structure includes four short double-helical elements and three loops (D, anti-codon, and T loops). The record is from RNAcentral.
GGGCACCUAGCUCAUCUGGCUAGAGCACUCCGUUGACGUCGGAGAGGUGACAGGUUCGAAUCCUGUGGUGCCCACCA